RNAcentral lists this ribosomal RNA (460 nucleotides) under uncultured bacterium. RNAcentral's name for it is "partial 16S ribosomal RNA". It matches the Rfam family "Bacterial small subunit ribosomal RNA", at positions 338 to 795 of the family's 1533-position model. The record is from RNAcentral.
CCUACGGGAGGCAGCAGUGAGGAAUAUUGGUCAAUGGCCGGAAGGCUGAACCAGCCAUGCCGCGUGAAGGUCAGUGCCCUAUGGGCGUUAAACUUCUUUUGUGCGGGAGCAAUAAUGGUCACGUGUGGCCAGACGAGAGUACCGUACAAAUAAGCAUCGGCUAACUCCGUGCCAGCAGCCGCGGUAAUACGGGGGAUGCAAGCGUUAUCCGGCUUUAUUGGGUUUAAAGGGUGCGUAGACUGUGAGGUAAGUCAGCGGGGAAAUGCCCGCGCUCAACGGGGUGAAGUGCCAUUGAUACUGCCUUGCUGGAAUGCGGAUGCCGUGGGAGGAAUGUGUGGUGUAGCGGUGAAAUGCAUAGAGAUCACACAGAACACCGAUUGCGAAGGCAUCUCACGAAUCCGCGAUUGACGCUGAUGCACGAAAGCGUGGGUAUCAAACAGGAUUAGAUACCCCUGUAGUC